GCGCCCUUAGCUCAGCUGGAUAGAGCGUCUGGCUACGAACCAGAAGGUCGGGAGUUCGAAUCUCUCAGGGCGCGCCA
This 77-nucleotide transfer RNA is filed under the name Silvibacterium sp. RNAcentral describes it as "tRNA-Arg". It matches the Rfam family "tRNA". From Rfam's summary of the family: Transfer RNA (tRNA) molecules are approximately 80 nucleotides in length. Their secondary structure includes four short double-helical elements and three loops (D, anti-codon, and T loops). Lineage: Bacteria; Pseudomonadati; Acidobacteriota; Terriglobia; Terriglobales; Acidobacteriaceae. The record is from RNAcentral. RNAcentral also lists the same sequence under 19 other names.